Molecule: ribosomal RNA, 1404 nt
Filed under: Triticum aestivum (bread wheat)
Lineage: Eukaryota; Viridiplantae; Streptophyta; Magnoliopsida; Poales; Poaceae
Description: partial small subunit ribosomal RNA
Source: RNAcentral
AUGCUCCCUCUGUUGCAACGAGCUAGCCUACCAUCACCACCACCACCAGCAGCAGCAACAGCGGCAGAGUGCUCCCCUCUUCCUCAGCUUACUUGCGUCCCAUUAAUUAAAGUAGGUGGCAAGAUGGAUCCUGGCUUCUGCAACGACAUGAUCCUAAGCGAGAGCGCGUGGAACAGCGGCGGUGGAGACGGUGGCGCGGCCGGUGAUGUCGUUAAUGUUGUGGACGGGAGCGGCAUGACGGUGCUGGAGAGGCUGGUGCUGGACGAGGCGCUCGCGGCCGCGAUCAUGGAGCUGCAAGGCAUCCAGGUGCCGUGCGCAGGUGGCAAGCCGAUGGCCGGCGGCCUCGAGGCGGCCAGCCUCGCAUUCGGCGCUACGGGGACGGCACCCGUCACGCCUGCCUACGCUGAGGUUGACGGGGUUGUCUUGCAGCGACAGCAGCAUCAACAUCGCCAUCAGGGCGUGAUGGGGAUGCCUGUCGACUACGACCUCGUACCAGCAGCACGAGCUGUCACGUUGGCUACUGUACCUGCGGCACCUUCCUUCCCAAAAGGCGCGGCUGCCGGCGUCGUCGAUGCGGCGGCCUUUGACUCCGGCAAUAACGCGCUGACAUCGGCGGUAACAGCAGGGACGACGAGGCAGUGUGACGAAGCCAACGGUGGUGCCAAAAGGCAACUCCGGUCAAGUAGAAAGAGGAGGGCCGCCGAUGCACCAUGCCCGGCCGCCGACGGGCACCCGCAGUCGCAGGAGAACCCUCUCUGCAGCCUCCUCGCGUACACCAACACCGGAGAUGGCGGCAUCCAGAUUGCGUUCAGCGGCGGCGGCGGUGCUGCGCCGUCCUCCAAGCGCACCAAGCCGUCGCUGAGCAGCACCUCGUCCAGCAUCAGCUUUGACGGCAGAAGUUCCGUCAACAACGGCUGCGACGACGUCCCCCGGUACGAACCGGACACGGAGGCCCUGGCGCAGGUGAAGGAGAUGAUCUAUCGCGCGGCGGCGAUGCGGCCGGUGAGCCUCGGCGUCGAGGAGGAAGACACCGGCGAGCGGCCAAGCAGGCGCAACGUGCGCAUCUCGUCCGACCCGCAGACGGUGGCGGCGCGCCAGCGGCGGGAGCGCAUCAGCGAGCGGCUGCGCGUGCUGCAGAAGCUCGUCCCGGGAGGCGCCAAGAUGGACACGGCCUCCAUGCUGGACGAGGCCGCCAACUACCUCCGCUUCCUCAAGUCGCAGCUCAGGGAGCUGCAAACCCUAGACCGCCGGAAUUACGGCGCUAAUGCCAUAUCGAACACAGGCAUGGCGCCACUGAUGAGCUACAACAACAUGCCGGCCUUCGCCUUCCCGGCGACAGGAGCCGGCGAAACCCUAGGAGGAGGAGGAGGAGAGGAGGCUUUCAUGAGCAGCCGGUUUAGAUAG